RNAcentral lists this unclassified non-coding RNA (300 nucleotides) under Hevea brasiliensis (rubber tree). Lineage: Eukaryota; Viridiplantae; Streptophyta; Magnoliopsida; Malpighiales; Euphorbiaceae. The record is from RNAcentral.
CUGGAGAGCGAAAAAGAAACUAUAGAGAGGAAGCCUUUCAUGGAAAUACAAAGUGAGACCAAGAGAUUCAGGCAAGAUGUUUUCAAGAGAAGGCACAGAGCUAGAGCUCUUAAAAACCAGGGUCUAUGAGUCUCUCUCGGCCUAGAGGAUUGGGAAGAAAUGGAUUACAGGAACAAAAUUAUUUAUUUAAAAAGUUCACAAACAUCAUACCAUAUGUAUAGUUGUGCUUCUAAUGCUAACGGUGGCUGUUGGAAUCUCAUUUUAUGGUUUUUCUAUUGUCAUGCCAUCUGAGGCAUCUGG